GCCUUCGCCAUCGCCUUCGUCUUCGUCACCGUCACCGUAGCCGCUGUAAAACAACAUUUCAUUUUUUCAUUUUUUUUUUUUUUCCCCACCAAGAUGGCGCUGUCUAAGCAAGCAGAGAAGUACAUGCGGCUUGUGACCACCGUGUUGACGGUGGCCUCCUAUCUCAUGCAAAUUGUGGCCGUUUGCACGGAUUACUGGUUUGUCUUGGAGACACCUCGAGGAGUUUACCGUUCCAGUAGCAAGCUUUUUAUGGUGGAAGCCUCGCACGGCCUUUGGAGGGUGUGCCGUGUCGAGGUGAGAAAUGUGUCGGAUUUAAGCCUCACGCGUAAGU
RNAcentral lists this long non-coding RNA (331 nucleotides) under Octopus vulgaris (common octopus). Lineage: Eukaryota; Metazoa; Mollusca; Cephalopoda; Octopoda; Octopodidae. The record is from RNAcentral.